UGGACACAGGCACGUAUGAGGGAAGACAA
Molecule: non-coding RNA, 29 nt
Filed under: Homo sapiens (human)
Lineage: Eukaryota; Metazoa; Chordata; Mammalia; Primates; Hominidae
Source: RNAcentral